Long non-coding RNA from Prinia subflava (tawny-flanked prinia), 7180 nucleotides. RefSeq lists it as uncharacterized. NCBI's taxonomy places the organism in Eukaryota, Metazoa, Chordata, Aves, Passeriformes, Cisticolidae. The transcript has 4 exons. The record is from RefSeq and is a predicted model, not a curated record.
AUGGGCCUCUUCAUCUCAGUAUCACAUCCUGCUGGUUCAGAAUUGAUCUGAGAGUGCUCUGAAAGUUUUCUGAGCAUCUCAUUGCCAGGGAUUUUUAUGAUCUGCAAGGUGCAGGCACAUUUCUACUACCACAGUACAGAAUGGAGGCAGAGAGAGCCACAGCACGCUCAGACUCUUUCCUCCUCAUAUUUCAUUUCAAAAUCUCUCUCGUUUAACCACUGGGCUGGAAAGGAGGAAGGUUUGUGACAUUUUUCAGGCCCAGGUAAGACAGCAGAAAAAAUUCAUUACAGAAUUACAGAAUCAUCAAGGCUAAAAGAGACCUACGAGGUCAUCUAAUCCAGCUGUCAGCCUCAUACUACCAUAAUCACUCUGAUAUCAUAUCCUAAACCACAUAAUUCUAAACAAGGAGAAUUCCCAAUGAACAGUGUUGGCAUUACACUUUUUACAGGACUCAGCAUCUGACACAUAUUCAAUGGGACUGUUGUGUCUCUUGUGUUUCUGCUACUUUUUUCCCCAUAUUUUCUUCUUUAAAAGUAUUAGAAUACGUAUUUGGAAACAGACCCAUAGCUUAGCUCCAUUGGCUUCAAUAAAGCUGUGCUUAUUUCUACCAUGUAAAAUUCUGCCUUUAAAUUUCAGAGGAUAUAAGAAAAUGCCCUAAAAGAGCUCUAGACUGUACAGUCCACUGAUUCUCCUCCGUCUUCAAUUCCCUUUGCCCCAAGCUAUUACCUCAAUCUAAUUUUUAUUUUCCUUUCCCUAGUGACUGGUUUACAUCUCAAGUACUUAGAACAAAGAGUAUUGUUUUGAUCUGUGCUUAAGGCAGCAUGUUCUGGAAGUCACUUGCAUCAUAGUUAGCAUUCUGUCUUUUUUUUUUUUUAAAUAAAGACAAUUCUUACCUGUUACAACACUACAGAGAGCCUUUUUUUUUUUUUUUUUAUAGACACAAUAGCAACAUGCAAAUAUUCUAGUUGUUAGAACAUGCAACCUAAAAACUAGGCUCAUUUUCAAACCACAUGCUCCAAUUAAUAAAUAAAGUCUAUUAGUACUGACCUAUUGAUCAAGCAUAAGAAUCAGGGAUUCCAGCAUCAUCUCUUUGUCUGCAGGCUGCUACCUCCACCAGUCCUUAUAAGUUAACAUUUGAAUUGGAAUUAGCCCUUGUAAUUACAUUUAUAUUAAUAGAAUUAGAAGGCAAACGCUCUUCUGAGUUUUAUCUUUGAGUGAUAAACUGAAUUCUCACUUCAAUCUAUUGCGCUUGCACAGAGAUUUACUGUAUGUGAACCUCACAGUAAUUUUGAGAUUGAAACUUGGGCAAUUCUAGGGACAGACAAGAUCAAGAGACAGGUUUGUCUGUUCUCAGGUGGCUGUACCCCACAAAGCUUUUCCUUUUCCAAACCCUUAUUGGUUGUUCUUAGCAGCCCUUUCUGUAACCCAGUCCUUGCAUCAACUGCUUAGUGUGUACAGAAAUGUUUAUAUCCCUUGAGCUCCAGCUUCCUUUAGUUUCUCUUCAUUUCCCUUUCUUAGAGCCUGUCCAUUUGUUCUUGUAUUUGACACUAGUUUUCUGACAUCUCUCCUAGCUAUUCCCCUUAGAAUCAUGUAUAAAAUAAUGAUGUCCACCCUGAGCUUUCCUCUCUUCAAAAAGCACUGACCUAGUUUCUCUGCUUUUACAGUAGAAGUUCUCCAGUCCCAUGUCAACGAGGUUGCCCUGACAUAUCUUAGCUCUGAUAGUUAUCUCUCUUUUAAUAAUGGCAUCCUGAAUGGGGAUUAUUUCCUCUAAAUGCAUCUUCAUCUGUUCCCUGUAGACUAUUUCCUUUUGAGUUACUUCUGAUUGAUCUGUUUUUGGUGGUAGGGCUACGCAAAGAUAGCUCUGAUCUUUCUAUCCAGGGCCUGACCACAGGUGAUGAUUCCUGUGGACUUUGGCCAGAAUUGGAGCCUUUGAUAAUAUAUUCCCCAAACCCGUAUAAAACACAAUGAAAAAAGCCAUAGUUUAAAUUGCUCUUUCUUAUUAUUAAUGGAGCAGAUCCUCAGCAAGAGUAGUGGGUCACUUAAGUCCUUGGAUGUGUGCAGAGAUGACAAUAUUGCCUAGUAGUUACAGAAUUGUUAUUUUUGUACGGCACCACUCACUUAUUUUCCUUCUUUUGCACUACAUUCUUUCUUUUCAUUAUGUCCAAACUAACCCUUUUUCCUAAGGACCUGACCCUCCAUCAUCAAAGUGAGGGGGAGAUUUCACCUAGGCUUCUGCAGGAACAUCAUGAAGGCCUGGCUUUUACUUUGGGUAAGUUUUUAGCAUGCUUUGUUUUCUCUCUUUAUUUUCAAAUUCACUGCCCACUCCCUUUCAUUCCUCUACCCCACUUAUUUUUUAUAUUUAUGCUCCAUUUUUUUUUUUUAACCUUCCUCAUUGACCUCUGACUGACAAAGUGCUCACGGGUUGCAGAAACUUCCCCUCGUCACUCACUGUGAUGCUGCUGCAGGAACUGGAGCCACUCUGCUGUCCCUGCAGCCUGGCAGCCUUUGGCUACAGCUGCCUGCCUUUGGAUGGAUGUUUGGCAUGGUCCCACCACACGAUGCUGAAGCAGGAACUCCAGUGCCUUGGGUCUCUUCAGGGUCUGCCUGCUGAUCUGAGCUGGGAUGGGCUGUAUGUGAGACUGCUCUGGUUUAUGUUUUUGAGCUAUCCAGAACGGGGAUUAAGCUCUCUUUGCAGCCCGGUCCCAGCAGCUUUCCGGAGGGAACAUCCUCCCCAGACAGGCUGCACGCUGCUAAUUACAGGGGAAAUCCUGGCAGCGUCAGAGUCGGUGCCAAAACCUCCCUGAUUGCGGCGAUGCCGGGAUCUCACCAGAUGUCUGGAUUGUUUAUCCAUCUGGGGGUUUCUUGCCCGGGCUGUUUGCUGGCUGGCCUUGACCUUCCUGGGGAGCCAGGGCUCCUCUUCCACCCCCGCAGGAGAAGGGCUGCCUCUGACGCAGCCCCGGCCCCCAGCCCCAUCCCUGCCUGACACAUCCUUGGCGUUCUCAGCGCUGCAGCCAGAGAGGAAGAGAAGUGUCUCAUCCGGCUGUGGCUGUCCUUGCCUUUCCGCUGCUGUCACCCAGACCUGGCACUGGGCUCCCCAGAGACCAUCUGCCUCCAGCUCCCGAGGGAGCGCUGCUCCACGGAGAGCCCAGACACACAGACCUGCGUGGAGAAGAUGGUGUGAGCCCCAAGGAGCCUAGCUGCUAAGGAGAGACAGGAAUAUGCAAGUAAUUUAAUUUCUCAUGCAAAACUCUGCUAGGAACUACUAGACUUUCCAAAAAUGUAUUCCAAAGAAAUGCAGAGAUAGAUUCCCGACCGGCAUUAAUCAGUGCUGAUUAAGUCAUGGAGCUACCCAAUUUCUGCCUGCUUCCUUUCCUCUCUGCAGAGCCAGGUACAUUGGAAAUACUGCCUGAGGUCAGCAAGAGGCUCCUCCUCCCCUGCAGUGAGCUCCCACUCCAGCCUGAGCAUCCCUUUCUGUGGACCACCUCCACCACGAGACAGCAACCCCAAAGAGCUUCACCUGAUCUCCCAAAUGGGGCUCUCUGGGGACAAUCAGCCCUGGCAUCUCAGGAAAAGGUCUCCUUGAUGCAGGAUGGAGCAGCAAGUUAGAACACCAAGUACCUCAGGCUGUAAUUAAAUUCUAAGAUCACCACUGCCCUAGUGAAUAGACACUAUUUUAUACACAUAUUUAGAAAGAUAAAUAAAUAAACAGGUAGACAGAAAAACAGAAAAAGAAGAUCAUAGAUGGAGAGAUAGGUAGAUUAGAAAUAGAAUUAAAUUUGCACUUAUUUUCCUGUGUGAUGAAAUCACACAGUGACUAAAAAACUAUUUUCUAAAAUUUAAGGUAAAAAAUUAACUCUGUCAAGAAGCAAGGAACUCAGUCUUGGCAAUGGAAAUUGCAAAGAACCCCAAAUCCCACAUAACAGUUAUCUGACAUCAUACAGCAACUGCACAUGGUAGUAAUGGCAAUGGGGCCCCUAUUAACUAGAGAAAACCCUGAUGAAAUCAGUCAAUCCUGCAAAAAUAGCAAGUGCUAGCCCUCAUGCCAAUGAACCAAGCACAUGGCAGCAUGACUGGAAAGGACCAGCAAAUGCUUUGCAAGCUCACCAAGGUGGCCCAGGCACUGGGUCAAGAGUCUGAGCUAAGAGCUAAAGAGAGCAUGACCAUCCCUGAAUUCCUGCCCUGUGGCAGUGCCCAGCACAGCUGGAGAGUGCCAGAGCCUCACAAGGCAGCUUUAACUGCUGCCAGUUGGACUUUCCUUAGGAACACUCUCAGAGUCCAGUCCUCUGGAGCACAGUUUGUGUUGGCUUCCCUCUCCCCAAGGCCCUGACUCAGGAAAUGGAGCAGGCACCAGGCAGGCUCCACACACACACUGGGUGUCUGCAGAGAAACAUGGAGCUUCUGGGCACAGGGAGCUUCCCUGGCUCCUUUUGGAAGCCUUGCAUUCAUUUACAAAGUCAUAAUUACACUGGACAAGCAACAACCAUUAGGGUUAACUAAUAAUUUGUUCCUAUCACCUUGUCCUUUUGUAAAGUCUAACAAACUUAAUUUACAUCCUUACAUAUCCAAGCAACAGAUUUCUACUUAGAGUAAACCAUGGUUUCUACCUUCUAAGCAACAAGAACACGUGCAUUACUUGAUUUAGGGGUUUUUUGCUAAUCCUAGAUUAUCUUCCAGGUCUUGAGAGCUGUUACAAAAUUCAGAUGAAGACUUCAGAACUCACCCACAAAGCCACUGGUCCCCUGCCUCCAGGACACUAGAGAUGCUUUUCUCACCUUCCUGGAUUCCACGUGCAGAGCUCCAGGUGCAUCACUGUGGCUCUGAGUUUGAGGUGCAGAGCACUUCUGUGGACAAGUGGUGUCAUUCAGCAAAGCCUGCAGCAAAACCGUGGAAAGUUUUCAUUGACUUCUGCACAAUUCAGCAUUUGCUUUGCACUGAUGAAUGAAGCAAAUAUUCAGCUGAUUACUUCAUGCAGCUUCUACUCCCAACAUUAAACCAUUGCUUCAUUCUCUAUUCCUGUGCCCUUACCAAAUAGUAGUAGAUUAUUUUAUGGGAUAACCUCAUUUUCCUUCCCUUCUUCUGGUGCCUUUCUAAGGCAGACCUGGAGUUGGCAGAACAAAAACCAGGAACAACCAAUGAGCUAGACCUCGUUAGAGCAAUAAGGGAUUUCAGGCUCCUUCCUCAUCCCAAGUGGCUUUGGCAGUUUCCUUUUAUUCUUUAACAUUGUUUGCAUUAUUUACACAGCUGCUCCAUAACUUUUUCUUGUUAUAUGUUUAUUUCUUCCUAUUUUUUUUUAAUUUUAAGCUUCUCUCUUUAGAAUUUAGAGCAGCAUAUAUUUAUUUUUACCACUUCAAAAAAUAAUUUGCUUGUAAUUAAACCCACAAAUCUAAUAGUGCCUAAAUGUAAGAGUGACCUGUGUUUAUGAGGGGGACACAGGGGCUGGUUUUGAAAGCUGAACCGCAUCAUUUCACGAUCCACAAUCAGCUUUUAGGGGUUUUCUAUUAUUAUUAUUAUUAUUACAAGGACCAGGUGUCUGAAAAGGUAUCGUUUUUCUCACCAGCUUGUGCUAGAUGUUUUAAAAAGGUAUUAAUGCAGCUGUACAGGUUAUAGCUGGGUGUGUGACUGCCCGCUGGAUUUACACGCGCAAUUACCCCAAGAGCACACAACCCUCCGAGACUCACACAUGCAAAAAGCCUCUUGGCUGGAAAACUCUUGGCAUGGAUGCUCCAUUUCCAUAUGCAGUCACACUGAAUAUGCACAUACAUUAGGGGCAGGAGCACACAUACGUUUUUCAAACUGGAGGCCUUGGUGUGAACCUAAAGAAGAAAAGACAAAUGCUGCGGAAAAGGGGUUUAGGUCAAAUUCACUGAGCAAGGAUGAAUCUGCUGGGUUGUACUCAUGUCCCUUGUACCAAUGUACAUCAUUUUCUGCAAUUAAAUAUGCAAAAAGCUGUGGAUUUUUUUCCUUUAUGCCUUUACAUCUUUUGAAAAAUUAUAAUCUUUAAAUUUCCCUUUCUGAUUCUAAUAGACGAAAACCAGCCCAAUGUAAAUUUUUGCCCGAAAGAGACAAAUCAACAGAAAAAAAAAAGUGUUUCUGAGUAUUAACAUGUUUGAAAAUCAGGCAACCAAAGACUGUAAACAUAGACUUAGGUGUCUGAAUUUAGGCACCUAUUUUUUAAAACCUUGGCUUUGAAAAUAAAGUAUCUGAAUGUAUAUAGAAAACAUAAAUCACCAGUCACUUUUAUUACAUGUAUGUUUAUAUAAAGACCUUAGAACACAUUUUUAAAAUGUAAACGUUCCUUAGUAUGUUUAACUAUGUGUCUAAAGAAGAUGUAGGACAGAAAGAAAACAAAAUUUGACAAAUGUUUCUGAUCAAUCCUAAAGAAAUCAAUAGGAAUUCACUCACAGCAUGAUUUCAUUUAACUUUCCAUGGUAGGAAUAGUAACCUGGCUUUCUGUUAAAGCAAAAGCAUUCGUACUUCUCAGCGAUUUAAUUCUCAUGUCAACAUGUAUCAGGCAGGCAGAGAAUGGUUUGGAGACUGGGAGGGGAAGGAGGAAUGGAUGGAAACACAGGGAAAUUGUGUGGACUGAGCUGUGUGGUUGGGUGACUUCAUUUCACCAAAACUAGUUUUUAAUAAAAAACGGAGUUUUCAUUGAGAUGCAUAUUUCCCUUCCCCUCUGAAGAGGCAGAAAGUGUCUGUUUCUCAAACCAUCUUUUAAUGUUUAGUUGAAAAAUAUCUAACACCCGAGAAUUGGAACAGCUUAGUAGGGAAAAGAGAGAAAAGCCAUUGAAUCCCGAGUACUGCAUCAGCUCCUUGGUGGGAGCCACAGCCUGGGGUGUCUGCCAUCCCUGCAAACACACACCCCACAACACCCAGGAGCUGGGUAUCUCCACCAUGCACACUCUCAGUGUGCCACUGCAACACAAAAAGGAGAGGGGACAAGCCCAGACAAUGAGAAAAUGAAGACAGGCAGCUACAGCUCUUGUGAAUGAACUUGGGGUGGUUUUUUUUGGCCAAAAGGGAAGUAUUUUGGCCCAUAAUUCAAAUAUCACAACAGAGAAUUUUGGUUUGGAAAUGUCAUCAGGUUGGGGUUUUUUUUCCAAAAAUCAGACUUGAGUGAAGAAAGCCUCUGCUUUCCACCUUCCCAAGCAAGGCAAAACUAUUGGCACUACAAGCUCCUAUA